GUGGAGCCAUGAGAAACAGAGUCCUUCUGAUCCGAUGGAGCUUUCCCCAUAAUGGAGAUGGAGCCACGGUGCUUGGCUGAAGCGCUGUGGUGUAAGGAGAGCUAAGCUAACUCGAGAGUAAAAAGGAGGAAGAGAGGGAACCCUGUCGGUGUUGUAAAGUAAAAGAGAAAACCCAGCAGAGGGAGUAGGGAAGGCAUCCAGGCUGGUGCCUUUUAAAGCAGCAGUGAAAGAGAGAGGAGAGAGGACAGGGGGACUCUAAGGCACCGGACCACUGUCACCUACCGACCAGCCCCCGCCGAUGAUCCACGGCUACAGCCACUGCACAGUGAAAAGGGGGUUAUGCCAGGAGAGCUUGAAAGGAAGGGACGAUCCAGCUCUCCGUCUGUCCAUCCGUCCGUCCACCCGUCAUCCUCAUUCCUCUUUUAAUUUCAGAGCCGAUAUCUCAGGUCAGACGGUCC
This is a long non-coding RNA of Oncorhynchus tshawytscha (Chinook salmon), 458 nucleotides long. The record is from Ensembl. Lineage: Eukaryota; Metazoa; Chordata; Actinopteri; Salmoniformes; Salmonidae.